UGGCUCAGGAUGAACGCUAGCUACAGGCUUAACACAUGCAAGUCGAGGGGAAACGGCAUUGAGUGCUUGCACUCUUUGGACGUCGACCGGCGCACGGGUGAGUAACGCGUAUCCAACCUUCCCAUUACUGUGGGAUAACCUGCCGAAAGGCAGACUAAUACCGCAUAGUCUUCGUUGAUGGCAUCAGAUAUGAAGUAAAGAUUUAUCGGUAAUGGAUGGGCAUGCGUCCCAUUAGCUAGUUGGUGAGGUAACGGCUCACCAAGGCGACGAUGGGUAGGGGAACUGAGAGGUUGAACCCCCACACUGGUACUGAGACACGGACCAGACUCCUACGGGAGGCAGCAGUGAGGAAUAUUGGUCAAUGGGCGAGAGCCUGAACCAGCCAAGUCGCGUGAAGGAUGACUGUCUUAUGGAUUGUAAACUUCUUUUAUACGGGAAUAACAAGAGCCACGUGUGGCUCCCUGCAUGUACCGUAUGAAUAAGCAUCGGCUAACUCCGUGCCAGCAGCCGCGGUAAUACGGAGGAUGCGAGCGUUAUCCGGAUUUAUUGGGUUUAAAGGGUGCGUAGGCCGUUUGAUAAGCGUGCUGUGAAAUAUAGUGGCUCAACCUCUAUCGUGCAGCGCGAACUGUUGAACUUGAGUGCGUAGUAGGUAGGCGGAAUUCGUGGUGUAGCGGUGAAAUGCUUAGAUAUCACGAAGAACUCCGAUUGCGAAAGGCAGCUUACCGUAACGUUACUGACGCUUAAGCACGAAUGUGCGGGUAUCGAACAGGAUUAGAUACCCU
Molecule: ribosomal RNA, 782 nt
Filed under: uncultured bacterium
Lineage: Bacteria
Description: bacterial SSU rRNA
Rfam family: Bacterial small subunit ribosomal RNA
Source: RNAcentral